GCAGAAGGAUCAUUAGUGAAGAUUUGGGCAGGCCAUACGGACGCCAAAAAGUGUCCCUGGCCGCCUACACCCACUAUACAUCCACAAACCCGUGUGCACUGUCUUGGAGAAAGGCUUCAGAGAAGUUUUUUGUGGCCUCUCUUGGGGUCUUUCUUCGCUACAAACUCGAAUGGUUAGUAUGAACGUGAAACUUGGUUGGACCGUCACUGGCCAACAAACUAUACACAACUUUCGACAACGGAUCUCUUGGUUCUCCCA
Molecule: unclassified non-coding RNA, 258 nt
Filed under: uncultured fungus
Lineage: Eukaryota; Fungi
Description: partial contains 18S rRNA, ITS1, 5.8S rRNA
Source: RNAcentral